This 468-nucleotide ribosomal RNA is filed under the name uncultured bacterium. RNAcentral's name for it is "bacterial SSU rRNA". It matches the Rfam family "Bacterial small subunit ribosomal RNA", at positions 58 to 521 of the family's 1533-position model. The record is from RNAcentral.
CAAGUCGAACGGCAGCACGGGAGCAAUCCUGGUGGCGAGUGGCGAACGGGUGAGUAAUGUAUCGGAACGUACCUUUCAGUGGGGGAUAACGUAGCGAAAGUUACGCUAAUACCGCAUAUUCUGUGAGCAGGAAAGCAGGGGAUCUUCGGACCUUGCGCUGAUUGAGCGGCCGAUAUCAGAUUAGCUAGUUGGUGGGGUAAAGGCCUACCAAGGCGACGAUCUGUAGCGGGUCUGAGAGGAUGAUCCGCCACACUGGAACUGAGACACGGUCCAGACUCCUACGGGAGGCAGCAGUGGGGAAUUUUGGACAAUGGGCGCAAGCCUGAUCCAGCCAUGCCGCGUGAGUGAAGAAGGCCUUCGGGUUGUAAAGCUCUUUCGGCCGGGAAGAAAUCGCGCAGGUUAAUACCCUGAGUGGAUGACGGUACCGGAAUAAGAAGCACCGGCUAACUACGUGCCAGCAGCCGCGGU